Molecule: ribosomal RNA, 301 nt
Filed under: uncultured bacterium
Lineage: Bacteria
Description: partial 16S ribosomal RNA
Rfam family: Bacterial small subunit ribosomal RNA
Source: RNAcentral
CAGCAGCCGCGGGAAUACGUAGGGUGCAAGCGUUAAUCGGAAUUACUGGGCGUAAAGCGUGCGCAGGCGGUUAUAUAAGACAGAUGUGAAAUCCCCGGGCUCAACCUGGGAACUGCAUUUGUGACUGUAUAGCUAGAGUACGGCAGAGGGGGAUGGAAUUCCGCGUGUAGCAGUGAAAUGCGUAGAUAUGCGGAGGAACACCAAUGGCGAAGGCAAUCCCCUGGGCCUGUACUGACGCUCAUGCACGAAAGCGUGGGGAGCAAACAGGAUUAGAUACCCCGGUAGUCCCUGUCUUUAUACA